GCUUGUCCACCGCAGACGAAGCCAUGAACUUUGGCCGUGGCUGAUGUCUCAAAACACAACCACAACAUAACCUGUCGCGAGUACUUUGCACACUUUAAAAAUUGUGUUUUCGUGCCGUAUUACUUACGUCGACAACCUACACUGUUCCCUCUGUUACUGUUUGCGCCAGAGAUACGGUGUCCACCACCUGUCAGUGCAACGGUCUCGCUGUACGCUAAACAACAACCACCUGUGGGUUUUAACAGCCGCUGGGUUCUAUUAUUUAGUUGACAAAGUUAUCAACAAUGAAAGUAAGGCAGGGCAUCCGGAUCACAGCUGCUCUUGUUUAGUUUUAGUUCUAGUGGUUUAACCCCCAUACUAGAACGGGACAUCCUCAUUGAUGUAUGUUUAAACUAUUUGUUCAUAUGGAACUCCAGUGUGACAUUUGUUAUGUUGAUUUUGACCUGGACUUGCAUCGACCCAAGAGCUUGCCUUGUGGACAUACCAUCUGUAAAGAGUGUGUGCAGAAUCCGGAGUUGGGGAGGAGGUGCCCAACUUGCAGGAAGGACCUGCCCGUUGACCUUGAUGACCUUCCGGACACCAUCCUAGCGAUCCGACUGAUUGAGAACGGUGGCGUCCCACCCCGCAAGAAGCCUAGAGGAGAGGACAGCGACCAGCAGCGGCUGCAGCGGGGCGUGGACGCGGGCAGGAAGGUGGUGGAGGCGCUGCGGCUGGCGGUCCCAAAGGCCGUGGAGGCGCUCAACCGCCAGCUGGACGCGUCCGUCGCCCAGCUCCUGCAGCUGGAGGAGGCCCUGGAGCAGGUGCAGCGGAGUGCCGCGGGUGAUGAGGGCACCUCGCAGGAGCAGCUGCAGCUGGCCGUGCAGCUGGAGGACAGCCUCCACCUGCUCACCACCAACAAGUGCAGCGUCGUCUCGGAGGAAGAGGGUGGGCCCACCUGGAAGGCCGAUGUGCAGCUCGACUCGUUCGGCGACGUCUUCCGCCUUCUGUUGCUGCAGCUGCGCGCGGACGGCCAGCUGGCCAAGGUUGACGACGUCGCUGUCCCCUGCUCCCCAGACGCUUACGUGGGACCGUCAAAGCAUACCAUUCUCACCAUAAAAGACGAGGAUCUCACAGCAGGCGACUUAAAAGUGAAUGACGUCCUACGUGCAAAAAGGCCGUGGAAGCACAUACGCUGCAUUAAGGGCUUGAAGGGCAAGGGUUCGGACCAGCUGCUGCGCGUCCUUUCGCCUCACCUCUUGCAUCUCGAGGAGCUCGGGUGCUCGGGUCCGGUAGAACCGAAGGUCCUGGAGGAGGUGCUCAAACUGACUUCACUCAAAAGGCUAGACAUCCAAUGCGAUGACAAGCGUGACGACUACCCAGACCUGCCGUUGCAGCUAGAAGAGCUGGAAAUAAACUUCCCAAGCGAGCGUCAGCUGCGCUGUGUGCAACGCAUGCCUGCUCUGAGGAGCCUACAGGUGUUGAAUUACAGUGGUCCAAAUGUAACCUUCACUCCCUCACAGUACGGGACACUGCGAUGGCUGUUCGCGGGCCUCGACACUGAUCACAAACCCACCAUGCUCUCCCUGGUGCGCGCCCACGCCUCAUCGCUGCAGGAGCUGAAGGUGUUCUGCAGCAGCAGUAAAGAAGCAAUGAGCGGUGGUUACUAUUUCCCCGACCUAGGCCAGGAGAUAUCUGUAUGCCGCCUGCUGCACCUCCGCCGGCUAGUACUCGCUCGUCCAACCACCGACCCGUGCACGGAUCUCGCUGGCUGCCUGGAGCAGCGUCGGCAACAACGUGCCUUCCUGCCCUCGUCCGUCAAGGUGGUUUGCAGCGCGUGUUCGAGCUCUCCCGAAGUGUACCUACAGUGAGGCGCCCAUCGCCGUAGAGGCGGUCAGUGGGAGGCGGCGCACCCACGGUGCUUCAUUCGGCCCACCCCCGCACUAGGGGUGCGACCGGGAGGGGGAGGGGGGGCACCGCCACACGGUGGAGGUUAGCCGGAGUGAAGCCGUCGCAGUAUACGGAUCACUCCGGUGGGUGUCAACUCCAUUCACUAGCCCACCUUGCUCUUCCCGCUCUCCCUCUCACUGCCGGAGCUGUAGCAGGUGUACUUCACUACCAGAGAUGCCCGCAAAGGAGGCAUCUUUUGUAGUGAACGCUCAACACGCCCGCACUACGGGCAGGCUGGAAGUUCCUCGUCGUCCAAGACAUGCCGCCAACACGUUUUAAAGUCGUUACAUCCUGCUCUCGCUGCCCGUCCAGAGACAGAGACCGGAGCGCUCCCAGUGCCCGAGCAGGUAUGGGGUGGAGCGAGCGCCUGACGGCGGCCGGGUAGGCCACCCGCACCGACUUGGAGCGCGGCGGGCGCGCCUACCGCCUACCUCGCAGGGGGCUCGGGUGCGGCGGGGCGGGCGGCAAAGUCGCGACCAAGUCGCCUCCGGGCCCUGCGCCGGAGCUGGACAACGCCUCACAUUUCUAUAAGCAGUAACACAAUUUGUUCAAAAACUUGUACAGUAUAAUUUUUUCAGAAAUGUAGUUCGAGAUGACUCUUUUGGGUUAAUUGCUCUGUGUGGUUAAGUCAGGAGAAUGAAUGGGCUGGUCUUACCAAUAAAUUGUAUAAAUAAAAUAGUAAAUAUAUAAUUGUUGUAUGUGCCAUAUUUUAGGUUGAAUACAGUUUUUUUUUACAAAUAAAAUAUUGUGGACUGAUUGUCUUUUGAAUCCCGUAAAAUUUGUCUUGUCUCUAGUAAAGAUUCCUUAUCCUAGAUUUGGUAAUGCCACUCGUAACAUAACACCAUAUGCAAGCAUAAUUGAAUCCCAAGCAGGUGAAAGAACGCCUGAUGACCGACCCGCACUUUUUCAAUUUGAACUGCGCACCUCAUCGCGCGUGCGUGGUGCGGUGCAUUGUGGUCCCAGAGGGCCCGCCAAUGGGAGCGCUUGUUUACCUAACCAUGACCUUGGCGGACGUGUUUCGACUGUCAUAGCACUUCUACUUCACGCACAACAACAACAUAACCUGAUCUCGAGAACAUAUCUAAUGUUUUAAAUCGUGUUUCCCUUCGGUAGUGCUUACAUCGACAACCCAGGCUGCGUCCCCCUUUUACUGCUUGUGUCUGUGAUGCGAUCUGGACAACCUGUCAAUGCUUCGGUUUUCCUGUACCCAAAACAACCACCUGUGAAAAAGUAGAUGUGGGGUUCCAUUUAUUUAAUUUAGUUGACAAAGUUAUCAAUCAUCAAUGAAAAACGGGUAGUGUCUGUGGAUCAAAGCUCCCAUUGUUUAAUUUGACUACUACUGAUUUAUCCUCCACCCUUGAAUGCAACAAUUCAUUAUUAUGGAACUCCAGUG
This is an RNA transcript of Frankliniella occidentalis (western flower thrips), 3319 nucleotides long. RefSeq lists it as uncharacterized. Lineage: Eukaryota; Metazoa; Arthropoda; Insecta; Thysanoptera; Thripidae. The transcript is spliced from 5 exons. The record is from RefSeq and is a predicted model, not a curated record.